Molecule: ribosomal RNA, 497 nt
Filed under: uncultured bacterium
Lineage: Bacteria
Description: partial 16S ribosomal RNA
Rfam family: Bacterial small subunit ribosomal RNA
Source: RNAcentral
GAUGAACGCUGGCGGCGUGCCUAAUACAUGCAAGUCGAACGAAGAAGCUAGGUGCUUGCUCCGAGCGGAUGAGCUGCGAACGGGUGAGUAACGCGUAGGUAACCUGCCUGGUAGAGGGGGAUAACUAUGGGAAACGAUAGCUAAUACCGCAUAACAGAAUAAAUCGCAUGAUUCAAUCUUGAAAGACGCAAUUGCUCUCCUAUCUAAAGGAAUCCGGUCGUAUUAGCUAAUUGGUUAGGUAACGGCCUAACAAGGCCAAGAUACAUAACCGACCUGAGAAGGGGGUCGGCCACACUGGGACUGGGACACGGCCCAGACCCCUAAGGGAGGCAGCAGGAGGGAAUCUUCGGCAAUGGAGGGAAGUCUGACCGAGCAACGCCGCGUGAGUGAAGGAGGGUCUCGGAUCGGAAAGCUCCUUUGUAAGAGAAGAACGAAUGGGGUAGGGGAAAAUUCACACUUUGACGGUAUCUAACCAGAAAGGGACGGCUAACUACGUG